UUUGCGUUAGGGAUAGGAGUGGAAAGCCCGCAUUCGCUUUUGGCGAAGCGUACUUGAAACGUAUAGCCCGGCCCCGU
This 77-nucleotide unclassified non-coding RNA is filed under the name Zobellia uliginosa. RNAcentral describes it as "Flavo-1 RNA". The record is from RNAcentral. Lineage: Bacteria; Pseudomonadati; Bacteroidota; Flavobacteriia; Flavobacteriales; Flavobacteriaceae.